AGAGUUUGAUCCUGGCUCAGGAUGAACGCUGGCGGCGUGCUUAACACAUGCAAGUCGAACGAUGAUCCUCAGCUUGCUGGGGGGAUUAGUGGCGAACGGGUGAGUAACACGUGAGUAACCUGCCCUUGACUCUGGGAUAAGCCUGGGAAACUGGGUCUAAUACUGGAUACGACCUUCCCACGCAUGUGGUGUUGGUGGAAAGCUUUUGUGGUUUUGGAUGGACUCGCGGCCUAUCAGCUUGUUGGUGGGGUAAUGGCCUACCAAGGCGACGACGGGUAGCCGGCCUGAGAGGGUGGACGGCCACACUGGGACUGAGACACGGCCCAGACUCCUACGGGAGGCAGCAGUGGGGAAUAUUGCACAAUGGGCGCAAGCCUGAUGCAGCGACGCCGCGUGAGGGAUGAAGGCCUUCGGGUUGUAAACCUCUUUCAGUAGGGAAGAAGCGAAAGUGACGGUACCUGCAGAAGAAGCGCCGGCUAACUACGUGCCAGCAGCCGCGGUAAUACGUAGGGCGCAAGCGUUAUCCGGAAUUAUUGGGCGUAAAGAGCUCGUAGGCGGUUUGUCGCGUCUGCCGUGAAAGUCCGGGGCUUAACUCCGGAUCUGCGGUGGGUACGGGCAGACUUGAGUGAUGUAGGGGAGACUGGAAUUCCUGGUGUAGCGGUGAAAUGCGCAGAUAUCAGGAGGAACACCGAUGGCGAAAGGCAGGUCUCUGGGCAUUAACUGACGCUGAGGAGCGAAAGCAUGGGGAGCGAACAAGGAUUAGAUACCCGCGUAGUCCA
Molecule: ribosomal RNA, 779 nt
Filed under: uncultured bacterium
Lineage: Bacteria
Description: bacterial SSU rRNA
Rfam family: Bacterial small subunit ribosomal RNA
Source: RNAcentral